UGGGUUGUAGCUCAGUGGCAGAGCACUUGCCUAGCAUGUGUAAGGCACUGGGUUCGAUUCUCAGCACCACAU
RNAcentral lists this transfer RNA (72 nucleotides) under Marmota marmota marmota (Alpine marmot). It matches the Rfam family "tRNA". From Rfam's summary of the family: Transfer RNA (tRNA) molecules are approximately 80 nucleotides in length. Their secondary structure includes four short double-helical elements and three loops (D, anti-codon, and T loops). Further hydrogen bonds mediate the characteristic L-shaped molecular structure. tRNAs have two regions of fundamental functional importance: the anti-codon, which is responsible for specific mRNA codon recognition, and the 3' end, to which the tRNAs corresponding amino acid is attached (by aminoacyl-tRNA synthetases). tRNAs cope with the degeneracy of the genetic code in two manners: having more than one tRNA (with a specific anti-codon) for a particular amino acid; and 'wobble' base-pairing, i.e. permitting non-standard base-pairing at the 3rd anti-codon position. Lineage: Eukaryota; Metazoa; Chordata; Mammalia; Rodentia; Sciuridae. The record is from Rfam by way of RNAcentral. RNAcentral also lists the same sequence under 3 other names.